Molecule: long non-coding RNA, 569 nt
Filed under: Androctonus crassicauda
Lineage: Eukaryota; Metazoa; Arthropoda; Arachnida; Scorpiones; Buthidae
Source: RNAcentral
CGGUCAUAUAUCAUAUUAUUGUUUAGAAAUGUUUACCAUUUCGGGUAAGUAUAUAUUUAUUUAUUUUUAUCUUUUACUCUAUUUUUCACCGAUGAAUACUAACGCUAGGUUGACACGACAUGGUACACUCGGAUCGACUUCACUCGGACCGACUUCACUCGGACUAUGUGCGCGCACCCACUCGGACGCUAUUUGGACCGUUUCAUCCGAGUAGGGUAAAUUCGGAUGACAACCAAACUACUCGGACCGAGUGGCAGACUCGGUCCGAGUACCGCUUCUUCCUCUUUUCUUCUGGUCCCUCGUUCCUUUUUUUCGUCUAUUCUGAUUAUUAAUACCACUGUCCAGCUCCUUCAACCGCAUAUUAGCCAUAACAUCUAUCCCUUUAAGCAGGAGAUCCACCAUUUCACCUCAGACUACAGACAGAGUACACUCGGAACAUGUAAACGAACUUAACACUCGGUCCGAGAGUACUCGGACGAGUCCAUCUCUGAGUGAACUCGAUCCGAGUAAACUCUGAUCGUGUCAACCUAGUUUAGACGAUGGACAUUCUAUGUCCACUACCGCUCAUU